AUUGAACGCUGGCGGCAGGCCUAACACAUGCAAGUCGAACGAGUGGCGGACGGGUGGAUAAUGUCUGGGAAACUGCCCGAUGGAGGGGGAUAACUACUGGAAACCGUAGCUAAUACCGCAUACCAUCGGAUCUGCCCAGAUGGGAUUAGCUAGUGGGUGGGGUAACGGCUCACCUAGGCGACGAUCCCUAGCUGGUCUGAGAGGAUGACCGGCCACACUGGAACUGAGACACGGCCCAGACUCCUACGGGAGGCAGCAGUGGGGAAUAUUGCACAAUGGGCGCAAGCCUGACGCAGCCAUGCCGCGUGUAUGAAGAAGGCUUUCGGGUUGUAAAGUACUUUCAGCGAGGAGGCGUUACUCGCAGAAGAAGCACCGGCUAACUCCGUGCCAGCAGCCGCGGUAAUUC
Molecule: ribosomal RNA, 406 nt
Filed under: uncultured bacterium
Lineage: Bacteria
Description: partial 16S ribosomal RNA
Rfam family: Bacterial small subunit ribosomal RNA
Source: RNAcentral